GCAAGGGUUGGUCACCAUAACAAUUGUUUGGAUAAUUGAGCUUCACAUGGGACUGUUUCUCAAACUCCCAUUUGGGAAUUCAGGCUUUGCUCCGAUAACUGAUCUCUCUGAUGCAUACGCAGACAAACCACUAGAGCCCUACAAGCUGGGCCAGCUAGUUCAGGGCUACGUUAUCGCGAAGGAAAAUGGGAUUUUUUUAACGUCCCUCCAGAGAUGAGCAGGAGAAUGUGUGGGUGGCCGUGUUAAAUCUGGAGUAAAUCGUGUACGGGACACAAGAAAGAUUGCAGAAAGUCUUUGAACGGGCCAACCAGUUCUGUGAACCUCUUCCUGUGCUCCAGCAGCUAGCCGACAUUUACGUCAAGAUCAAAAUAUGGACCUGAUUGUCAAAUUUGCCCGGCUGAAGUUUCAGUACAAGAACGCUGAGAGAGCCAAAUCCAUGUUUGACAAGGUCCUGAGUACUUACACCAAACGCACAAACCUGUGGUCCAUAUUCAUACACUUGAUGGUGAAGUAUGGCUCUCUGAAGGAAGUGAGAGAGCUUUUUGAUCAUGUCAGUGAAGAAGAUUAAGUUCUUCUUCAAGCUUUACCUGGAGUACAAGAAGAAGAACGGCUCACCUGAGAUCAUCCAAGCGGUCAAUCAGAAAGCCCUAGGAUAUGUGGAGACGAAAGGAGCAGAAGCUGCCAGGAUAUUUGAGGACAAAGAAUCUUUUUGCCACCCACCCAUAUUUAAUCCAUCUGCUUUUUUUCCUUAUUUGCUUUUUUGUUAUCACCUGUGCACCUAUUUUCAUAUUGCUGGAGGUGCAUUUGCAUGCGUUUCCUGAACUGUCACAUCACUGAAUGUCUAUAAAUGACCACAUUUUCCUAUUUGAUAAAUGAUGAUUAUGGGUUAAAAUAUUGCUGUAAUAAAUUUUGCAAUAAA
Carassius gibelio (silver crucian carp) is the source of this 919-nucleotide long non-coding RNA. RefSeq lists it as uncharacterized. The transcript is spliced from 5 exons. The record is from RefSeq and is a predicted model, not a curated record. Lineage: Eukaryota; Metazoa; Chordata; Actinopteri; Cypriniformes; Cyprinidae.